RNAcentral lists this small nucleolar RNA (104 nucleotides) under Catagonus wagneri (Chacoan peccary). Its description in RNAcentral is "Small nucleolar RNA U13 (ENSCWAG00000017464.1)". It matches the Rfam family "Small nucleolar RNA U13". The record is from Rfam by way of RNAcentral. Lineage: Eukaryota; Metazoa; Chordata; Mammalia; Artiodactyla; Tayassuidae.
AUCCUUUUGUAGUUCAUGAGUGUGAUGACUGGGUGUUCACAUGCCUGCAUGAUGUGUGCCUCCCUCAAGCCUUUUUACGACAUAGGCACAUUACCCUUCUGACG